UACAGAGGGUGCGAGCGUUGUUCGGAAUUAUUGGGCGUAAAGGGCGCGUAGGCGGUGCGGCAAGUCACCUGUGAAAUCUCCUGGCUCAACUGGGAGCUUGCAGGCGAAACUGCCGUGCUGGAGUGUGGGAGAGGUGCGUGGAAUUCCUGGUGUAGCGGUGAAAUGCGUAGAUAUCGGAAGGAACACCAGUGGCGAAAGCGGCUUCCUGGUCCAGCACCGACGUUCAGGCACGAAAGCGUGGGGAGCAAACAGG
Molecule: ribosomal RNA, 253 nt
Filed under: uncultured bacterium
Lineage: Bacteria
Description: partial 16S ribosomal RNA
Rfam family: Bacterial small subunit ribosomal RNA
Source: RNAcentral